Molecule: ribosomal RNA, 497 nt
Filed under: uncultured bacterium
Lineage: Bacteria
Description: partial 16S ribosomal RNA
Rfam family: Bacterial small subunit ribosomal RNA
Source: RNAcentral
GAUGAACGCUGGCGGCGUGCCUAAUACAUGCAAGUCGAGCGAACAGAUGAGGAGCUUGCUCCUCUGACGUUAGCGGCGGACGGGUGAGUAACACGUGGAUAACCUACCUAUAAGACUGGGAUAACUUCGGGAAACCGGAGCUAAUACCGGAUAAUAUAUUGAACCGCAUGGUUCAAUAGUGAAAAACGGUUUUGCUGUCACUUAUAGAUGGAUCCGCGCCGCAUUAGCUAGUUGGUAAGGUAACGGCUUACCAAGGCGACGAUGCGUAGCCGACCUGAGAGGGUGAUCGGCCACACUGGAACUGAGACACGGUCCAGACUCCUACGGGAGGCAGCAGUAGGGAAUCUUCCGCAAUGGGCGAAAGCCUGACGGAGCAACGCCGCGUGAGUGAUGAAGGUCUUCGGAUCGUAAAACUCUGUUAUUAGGGAAGAACAAAUGUGUAAGUAACUAUGCACGUCUUGACGGUACCUAAUCAGAAAGCCACGGCUAACUACGUG